CGGACGGAUGAGUAACACGUGGAUAACCUACCUAUAAGACUGGGAUAACUUCGGGAAACCGGAGCUAAUACCGGAUAAUAUAUUGAACCGCAUGGUUCAAUAGUGAAAGACGGUUUUGCUGUCACUUAUAGAUGGAUCCGCGCCGCAUUAGCUAGUUGGUAAGGUAACGGCUUACCAAGGCAACGAUGCGUAGCCGACCUGAGAGGGUGAUCGGCCACACUGGAACUGAGACACGGUCCAG
Molecule: ribosomal RNA, 241 nt
Filed under: uncultured Staphylococcus sp.
Lineage: Bacteria; Bacillati; Bacillota; Bacilli; Caryophanales; Staphylococcaceae
Description: partial 16S ribosomal RNA
Rfam family: Bacterial small subunit ribosomal RNA
Source: RNAcentral